This 71-nucleotide transfer RNA is filed under the name Ictiobus cyprinellus (bigmouth buffalo). Its description in RNAcentral is "tRNA-His". It matches the Rfam family "tRNA". From Rfam's summary of the family: Transfer RNA (tRNA) molecules are approximately 80 nucleotides in length. Their secondary structure includes four short double-helical elements and three loops (D, anti-codon, and T loops). Further hydrogen bonds mediate the characteristic L-shaped molecular structure. tRNAs have two regions of fundamental functional importance: the anti-codon, which is responsible for specific mRNA codon recognition, and the 3' end, to which the tRNAs corresponding amino acid is attached (by aminoacyl-tRNA synthetases). tRNAs cope with the degeneracy of the genetic code in two manners: having more than one tRNA (with a specific anti-codon) for a particular amino acid; and 'wobble' base-pairing, i.e. permitting non-standard base-pairing at the 3rd anti-codon position. Lineage: Eukaryota; Metazoa; Chordata; Actinopteri; Cypriniformes; Catostomidae. The record is from RNAcentral. RNAcentral also lists the same sequence under 1 other name.
GUAAGUAUAGUUUAGCCAAAAAUAUUAGAUUGUGGUUCUAAAGAUGAGGGUUAGAAUCCCUUUACUCACCG